RNAcentral lists this long non-coding RNA (1029 nucleotides) under Salmo trutta (river trout). RNAcentral's name for it is "lncRNA (ENSSTUG00000001722.1)". The record is from RNAcentral. Lineage: Eukaryota; Metazoa; Chordata; Actinopteri; Salmoniformes; Salmonidae.
UUUAUUCACCCAUGAGCCUCUUCGCUCCCAUGUCUUUUUACAGGGCUGGGAGAAUGAACUGAUAUCGUGGGAACCCAACGACUGGUGUGGGAUUGAGAGCGUAGCAGUUCCCAGAGACAUGCUGUGGAUACCAGACGUUAUGAUCUUAGAGGACAUUUCUGAUACAGGCAGUAUCACAUUGAGCCCCUACACAGAGGUGGCCCACUCUGGCAUGGCCUAUGUGACAGAAAGCCGCCGGUUGACCACCACCUGCAAGAUGAAUCUUUUUAAGUUCCCCUUUGACACCCAGAACUGCAGCAUUACCUUUAUUUCCUUUAUGCUUAAAGGUACACGCACGCACGUACGCACGUACGCACGCACGCACGCACGCACACACGCACGCACGCACGCACACACACACACACACACACACACACACACACACAGGAGGUAUAAUAGAUUUUCUUUAAUCUUUUUACUGAUAGGUAUAAAGUUGGGGCCCUUCUCCAACAGCAUUAUCAUGAGCCAAUUUUCCGAGAAGGUCAUGGUUACAUUGGGGGAAUGGGACUUCCUGGGCAUUAGGUUGUCCAUGGAAAAGCUAAUCUACGACAACAACAUUGUUUGGGACAAGCUGGUCUACAAGGUAUGCAAAUCAGAGAGAGCAAGAACUUGAAUAGGAAUGUGUUCCAUCAUGGUAUUUGAUCAUUCUCCAAAAACAAUGUUAAGUCCAGUAAGUUACUAUUUUCCUCACAGAUCAGCAUACGAAGAAGACCCCUUUUAUACGUGAUCAACCUCCUACUGCCACUCUUAUUUUUCCUCAUCCUGGACUUGGCCUCCUUUUUCAUUGAUGAGGCCAAGGGGGAAAAGCUGGGCUACAAAGUGACCAUACUCUUGUCCAUCUCUGUCUUACUGCUGAUUCUCAAUGACAUCCUGCCUUCCACAGCAGAUGACCUGCCACUCAUAGGUAAUAAUAUUAACUACCAAUCAUACCAUGUCAAAUCUCAAUCCACAUCUACCUCUCCAAAUCAAAUCAAAGUUUAUUUGUCACAU